UACGUAGGGUGCAAGCGUUAAUCGGAAUUACUGGGCGUAAAGCGCGCGUAGGCGGUUACUUAAGUCGGAUGUGAAAGCCCUCGGCUUAACUGAGGAAGUGCACCCGAAACUGAGUAGCUAGAGUACGAAAGAGGGUCGCGGAAUUCCCGGUGUAGAGGUGAAAUUCGUAGAUAUCGGGAGGAACACCGGUGGCGAAGGCGGCGACCUGGGUCGAGACUGACGCUGAGGCGCGAAAGCGUGGGGAGCAAACAGG
RNAcentral lists this ribosomal RNA (253 nucleotides) under uncultured bacterium. Its description in RNAcentral is "partial 16S ribosomal RNA". It matches the Rfam family "Bacterial small subunit ribosomal RNA", at positions 524 to 776 of the family's 1533-position model. The record is from RNAcentral.